AUUUUUCCAUAGACGUCGAACAAAUUCAUCUUUAGACGAUCAAAUGCAAAAAAUAGAAAAAGAAUCUAUUCUUAUUGGACAUGAUGUAAAUGGAAAACAUCAAGAGGAUGAAUCUGCAACCAUUUCUUCAAUUAUUAUGUUCUCGGAAAAAUUAGGCUACCUCCUCAAAAACUUAAUACAUUAGAUUUUUCUAAUUCAAAAAGAGAAUAUGGUUCUCGAUCUCGGUCUGCUAAUAGCUCUUUAUUUUAUGAACAAGUAGCAAAUGGAGAGACUGUGCCUCGAGAAUUGCUAUUAUAUUCAAAAUCAUUGCGAUCUGUGAUAUGCAAAACUUGUAAAUUAAUUGGAAAAAAUGACUCGUCUUUAACACGCCGUUAUAAAGAUUGGAAGAAUGCCUCACAAUUUUUAUAUUCCAUGAGAGAAGUAACAAACAUCGCGAAAAUGUACAAAUCUGGCUUUUAGGAUUUAGAUUGCUGGGUGGAUUAGAUACUGCUUUGGAGAAAAGCUACGAUAAAGAGUAUCAGUAUUGCAAAAAAACCCUUCAGCGGAUUCUUAGUGUAAUUAAAUUUCUGCAUACUCGAGCAUUAGCCUUCAGAUUAAGUAAUGGAACUUUUGUUUCAGAGCACAAAUGAAAUUAUUUAGGCAUAUCAGAACUCGUUGCGGAAUACUAUCGACUUUUAAAAGAUCAUAUUAAGGGUACCUUUUCACGGAGGCCUGUUUUUUACUAAUCGUUGAAUUUAUUUGACACAUCGAGUUCGUAUCUAGGUUCUCAACCGAUAAAAUUUUCCAUAAAUCAACAAGGAGCUAGAAAUGAAUCUUAUGACAAUUAUUAAUUCCACGAUUAAUUGAAAACAGGCCUCCGUGAAAAGGUACCCUAAGGGAAACUUUUCACGGAGACCUGUUGUAAAUUAAUCUUUGUAUUAAUUUGACACAUCGAGUUCAUAUCUAGGUUCUCAACCAAUCAAAUUUCCCAUAAACCAACAAAGUAGGUAUACGGAAAAAAAUCUUUAACGGGCCUCGUAGCAGAAACCACGGCACUGAUGUGGUU
Long non-coding RNA from Belonocnema kinseyi, 1045 nucleotides. RefSeq lists it as uncharacterized. Lineage: Eukaryota; Metazoa; Arthropoda; Insecta; Hymenoptera; Cynipidae. The transcript is spliced from 3 exons. The record is from RefSeq and is a predicted model, not a curated record.